GCAGUGUGCAGCGGAGCCCUCAGUUGGAUUAGAUACAUGGUGAAAUUUGUGACAAUUUUCGUCCCAUUCUGUGGAAGAUGGUUUUUUCCUUGAUUUUAUGUGAGGAUGGAAAUCAUGAAUCUGCAACUUGAAGAAUUUCCUUCUCCUUGAUUUUGUUCUUUUUAUUUUGUAAUCUUUAUUGUAAAUCCUACUUGUAUUUUUAAUUUGUAAAGCUAACCAAAGUCAUCUCCCUAAGGAGGGGAAACUUUUUUUUUAUUUCUUCUACUUUGUAUUUUUUUUCUUUUCUGGAUAUCGUUUGGUUUGGACUUCAACCUUUUGGUUUUGGUUAUCAAAAUCAAUGUGAACGUUUUGAUUUAGUAACUUGGUGAGAAUAUGCUGCUU
Long non-coding RNA from Cucumis sativus (cucumber), 381 nucleotides. RefSeq lists it as uncharacterized. The record is from RefSeq and is a predicted model, not a curated record. The transcript has 2 exons. NCBI's taxonomy places the organism in Eukaryota, Viridiplantae, Streptophyta, Magnoliopsida, Cucurbitales, Cucurbitaceae.